RNAcentral lists this ribosomal RNA (493 nucleotides) under uncultured bacterium. Its description in RNAcentral is "partial 16S ribosomal RNA". It matches the Rfam family "Bacterial small subunit ribosomal RNA", at positions 28 to 506 of the family's 1533-position model. The record is from RNAcentral.
GACGAACGCUGGCGGCGCGCUUAACACAUGCAAGUCGAACGGAAAGGCCUGCUUUCCCUUGUGGAUUGCGGGUACUCGAGUGGCGAACGGGUGAGUAACACGUGAGUGAUCUGCCCCCAACUUGGGUAUAAGCCUGGGAAACUGGGUCUAAUUCCCGAUAGGACUGCAGGGUGGUGCCUGUGGUGGAAAACGAUUUUCUAGUGGUUGGGGAUGAGCUCGCGGCCUAUCAGCUUGUUGGUGGGGUAAUGGCCUACCAAGGCGGCGACGGGUAGCCGGCCUGGGAGGGUGGACGGCCACAUUGGGACUGGGAUACGGCCCAGACUCCUACGGGAGGCAGCAGUGGGGAAUAUUGCACAAUGGGCGGAAGCCUGAUGCAGCGACGCCGCGUGGGGGAUGACGGCCUUCGGGUUGUAAACUCCUUUCGACCGCGAGGAAGCCACCUGGUUGGAAGGGUGGUGACGGUAGUGGUAGAAGAAGCACCGGCUAACUACGU